UGCUGGGUCCUGACUGCUUCCACAGGGACAUCAGGAGGGUGGCCCUCUUCCUAUUGGCUGCAGGGUCAUAAGUAUCACGUAUUCCACCCUAGUUUCAGCUGCAUAGACGCUGGGAUUAUGUAUCAGUUCUUUAUGGCAAACCUUGCUGGCCACCAUGCUGUCCCUAAGCUGCCAGUCCUUGGCAUUCACCAGCCAGCACCUCCUGUCCUGUGGUGACAAACUCCACUGUGGCAGCCGGACCUGCUUCACAGUGUGGGGUCAGCAGCUGUACUGGGGUUUGCAGAGUAACCUAUGUGCUGCCCUGUCUACCAGCUUUGGCAAAAAGAAAACAGUCCUUUUUUCUCUCUUAUGCAACCACUUAAGCCCAAGCAGUUGUUCUGGGGUUUGUGGUUUUUAUUCAUGACAUUAGUAGCGGAAAAUGACUGUCAUUGCCUCCUUUGGCUUGGGCCUUGUUCCUUUGCAACCCAUAUGAUUGAGAGAAUUUCCCUCUGGGCAAGAAGAAAUGGCAGCAUGGCCAAGCCAUGAAGAGCGGGUGGGCAAUACAAACAUUUCAAAGCCCAGACCAUAUUGAUGUAAAUAUUGCAAGUUUUCUUGGGGAAAGAAUGACCCUAUAUUUUUACAGAUUAUUUUACCAGUAGUCUUAUGUACUGGUUACUUAAUGCUUGAGGUUUGGGGGAGCAUCCUGGCUAGCAGCACCUCAGAAAAAAGAAAACUGAAUGACCAGGUGACUGCGACUGCAUUACAGCAACCAUCUGAGUAAUAUACUCAAAUCUGCAAUCUAUAGAACAAUGAUAAAAUUCUGCCUGCUAAAGCACAGAGAAUUUACAGAACCCUAAAUCCAAACACAGUCAGGAUUUAGGGUUCACUGACAUCCAUUCUCUGAAGUGGGCUGUGUACCCUUCAGUUAGCACACCAUCCCCUAGUUAUGUUAAAUAAAUGUUCACUGCUUCUCCGCAGCAUCCUGGCUAACAGCAAGAGGGUACUACACAGUGGUGCUGCACGCUAUCAAUAUAUUAUAUAUUACACCCAGCCAUUAGGUUGCUGCUCAAGUUUGGUCCAACCUGUCCAGCCGGGUAUCGCGAUUAAACCUAUCAAGAGGGUCCCCGCUCCUACACGCGAGCCUCUCCGCUGUCAUUUGUCCCCUGUGCCGCUGGAUGGCAAUGCCGGCUAAAGUAUCGCCGUGCUUUCGCGGCCGGUACAGAGACCAGGCAGAGGAGGAGGAGGAAGACGGGAGGAGAAGCAGCCUUCUUCCUGCCGUCAUGCAGAGUCUGGCACAGUCCAGCCAGAAGAGAUUGCCUGCAGGAGAGAGUGCUCUGGUCCUCCAGGAAGGGGGGAAAGCAGCCUGGCAGCAGCAGCCUUUUCCAAGCACAGGAACAGAAGGAAGGCAGAAAAAAAGCCACCCUCAACAGCAGUUUAAGGGUUGAGUUUGACCCCACGCUCACCCACUCAAUUAGCAACCGCCUUUUGCAACCAACAUUGGCCUUCCAAAAUGAAGCAGCACCACUUCCCCUCUGUGCAGGAAGAGCACAAAAUGGAGGUAAGAAAAAGAGCUUCAUCAUGUUGAGAUGAAGACUAUCCUCCCACCGUUUAUGCUGCCAGGAGAGGGAUUUCCAGGAACACAGGGAAAGGCUUUACUUCUGGGGAGGCUCCACAUGAGCACAGGGCUAUUAACAAAGCCCAGGUUCCUUAAUAGGCCUAAAAGAAGAUUAAGAAGCAGCUUAUUCUCAAGUUUUGAAACACAACCCGCAAUGUGCAAGACCAGGCAGGGGUUAAGACAUGCCCAUAUCCAUCAGGGAAGCAGGCUGCAAGGCAGAUGUCUUAGGUCCUUACACAGGACAAGUUCCCUGAUUUAAAUACCUUUCUUUUUUCUCUAGGGUUAUUUUUAAGCUUGCUGCCUGACUUCAACAGCGUUCCUUACCAAAAGCUUUGGUGGGGCAACCUGAUACUGCAUGAAGGGAGGGGAAGGGUUGAAACAGAACAAGAAAGGAACAAGGUGAGAAACGUUUUUUAGGACAGGUUCCCCGGGUGUGGGGAGCUGUGGCCUUAGGGGCCAGAUUUACCUGGACAACAGAGGCUGUCCUGGAAGAGCUGGUGAAAGGAGUAAUAAACACUCCAGGUGGGAAACAAAGGGAGGGCAACCACCCACCCAUAAAUAUGGGCAGGGCAGACCUGCAUCUACAUUGCCUACAGCUGGGGCCAUCUGUCUAGAGGCAGGGAAGGGUGUCAGGAGGGGAGGGCCUGCUCCAGGUUAGCAAGGUUAAGUGUGAAGCAGGUGAUGCUGCCUCUGGGGCAAGUGAUAGCCUGUCUGCAUUUGCAUGCCAUAUUUUUCCAGUGACACUUAGCACACAGAGUGUGUGUGUUUUCAGCAUAGCUCCAAAUAAACACCACGCCCCUCAGACAUGCACAUCUCUUACAUGUUUUGAAAUAAAUGCCUGCAGCUGGAAGACAGGAAAGGGGAAAAAGACUUAGGAGAUUCAUUUCUGCAUAGCCCAUUUAUAGCGGGACCUGUGACAGAGUAAAUCUCAAAACUGAGGCUGGUUAGGUUUCCUUCCUCUCUGUCCAGCUGUCUCACCCUUAGGCAACUCGCUUAAUUCCUUUGUGUCCCAGUUAUCUUGCAGAUACAGAAUAAAUAACACCAUCUACCUCAC
Molecule: long non-coding RNA, 2648 nt
Organism: Pezoporus occidentalis (night parrot)
Lineage: Eukaryota; Metazoa; Chordata; Aves; Psittaciformes; Psittacidae
Exons: 3
Source: RefSeq, a predicted model, not a curated record